Molecule: ribosomal RNA, 424 nt
Filed under: uncultured bacterium
Lineage: Bacteria
Description: bacterial SSU rRNA
Rfam family: Bacterial small subunit ribosomal RNA
Source: RNAcentral
GGAAUAUUGGACAAUGGGGGCAACCCUGAUCCAGCCAUGCCGCGUGAGUGAAGAAGGCCCUCGGGUUGUAAAGCUCUUUUGUCCGGAAAGAAAAGCAUUCGGUGAAUACCCGGAUGUUCUGACGGUACCGGAAGAAUAAGCACCGGCUAACUCCGUGCCAGCAGCCGCGGUAAUACGAAGGGUGCAAGCGUUACUCGGACUUACUGGGCGUAAAGCGUGCGUAGGUGGUUGUUUAAGUCUGAUGUGAAAGCCCUGGGCUCAACCUGGGAAUGGCAUUGGAAACUGGGCAGCUAGAGUGCGGUAGAGGGUAGUGGAAUUCCCGGUGUAGCAGUGAAAUGCGUAGAGAUCGGGAGGAACAUCUGUGGCGAAGGCGACUGCCUGGACCAGCACUGACACUGAGGCACGAAAGCGUGGGUAGCGAACA